RNAcentral lists this ribosomal RNA (304 nucleotides) under uncultured bacterium. Its description in RNAcentral is "partial 16S ribosomal RNA". It matches the Rfam family "Bacterial small subunit ribosomal RNA", at positions 506 to 807 of the family's 1533-position model. The record is from RNAcentral.
CAGCAGCAGCCGCGGGAAUACAGAGGGUGCAAGCGUUAAUCGGAAUUACUGGGCGUAAAGCGCGCGUAGGUGGUUUGUUAAGUUGGAUGUGAAAGCCCCGGGCUCAACCUGGGAACUGCAUCCAAAACUGGCAAGCUAGAGUACGGUAGAGGGUGGUGGAAUUUCCUGUGUAGCGGUGAAAUGCGUAGAUAUAGGAAGGAACACCAGUGGCGAAGGCGACCACCUGGACUGAUACUGACACUGAGGUGCGAAAGCGUGGGGAGCAAACAGGAUUAGAUACCCGAGUAGUCCCUGUCUCUUAUAC